This 29-nucleotide non-coding RNA is filed under the name Homo sapiens (human). The record is from RNAcentral. Lineage: Eukaryota; Metazoa; Chordata; Mammalia; Primates; Hominidae.
UAGCAAAAUGCAUCUAGGAUCCACCCACA